Armigeres subalbatus is the source of this 314-nucleotide long non-coding RNA. RefSeq lists it as uncharacterized. The record is from RefSeq and is a predicted model, not a curated record. NCBI's taxonomy places the organism in Eukaryota, Metazoa, Arthropoda, Insecta, Diptera, Culicidae. The transcript has 3 exons.
CGGCGGAUCAUAGGCGGCUGUAUCGUGAAGGAAGUUUAUGGUAAGACCACAUAAGACUGAAUAUCGUUCGGCAGCUAUUAUUGGCCUAUCUUACCAAUUAGAUACUAUAAUAACUGAUACAGGUUCAGUUCAUACAUAACCUGAUGUGUUAGAGAAAACGACUAUCUUCGAUUGACCCACUCAAGGAAUAACAAGUCGUAUAUAAGUCCUAUAGGAGACAUAUCAAGCUCUCUUUCCUGGUGGCUGAAAUUACACCGUGCUCAGCGAGUAUAGUGAGGUGCAUCAUCGGCGCAUUUGAUUUUAACGUCAAUGCA